Molecule: ribosomal RNA, 1734 nt
Filed under: Staphylococcus aureus
Lineage: Bacteria; Bacillati; Bacillota; Bacilli; Caryophanales; Staphylococcaceae
Description: partial 23S ribosomal RNA
Rfam family: Bacterial large subunit ribosomal RNA
Source: RNAcentral
UCGAUUCCCUUAGUAGCGGCGAGCGAAACGGGAAGAGCCCAAACCAACAAGCUUGCUUGUUGGGGUUGUAGGACACUCUAUACGGAGUUACAAAGGACGACAUUAGACGAAUCAUCUGGAAAGAUGAAUCAAAGAAGGUAAUAAUCCUGUAGUCGAAAAUGUUGUCUCUCUUGAGUGGAUCCUGAGUACGACGGAGCACGUGAAAUUCCGUCGGAAUCUGGGAGGACCAUCUCCUAAGGCUAAAUACUCUCUAGUGACCGAUAGUGAACCAGUACCGUGAGGGAAAGGUGAAAAGCACCCCGGAAGGGGAGUGAAAUAGAACCUGAAACCGUGUGCUUACAAGUAGUCAGAGCCCGUUAAUGGGUGAUGGCGUGCCUUUUGUAGAAUGAACCGGCGAGUUACGAUUUGAUGCAAGGUUAAGCAGUAAAUGUGGAGCCGUAGCGAAAGCGAGUCUGAAUAGGGCGUUUAGUAUUUGGUCGUAGACCCGAAACCAGGUGAUCUACCCUUGGUCAGGUUGAAGUUCAGGUAACACUGAAUGGAGGACCGAACCGACUUACGUUGAAAAGUGAGCGGAUGAACUGAGGGUAGCGGAGAAAUUCCAAUCGAACCUGGAGAUAGCUGGUUCUCUCCGAAAUAGCUUUAGGGCUAGCCUCAAGUGAUGAUUAUUGGAGGUAGAGCACUGUUUGGACGAGGGGCCCCUCUCGGGUUACCGAAUUCAGACAAACUCCGAAUGCCAAUUAAUUUAACUUGGGAGUCAGAACAUGGGUGAUAAGGUCCGUGUUCGAAAGGGAAACAGCCCAGACCACCAGCUAAGGUCCCAAAAUAUAUGUUAAGUGGAAAAGGAUGUGGCGUUGCCCAGACAACUAGGAUGUUGGCUUAGAAGCAGCCAUCAUUUAAAGAGUGCGUAAUAGCUCACUAGUCGAGUGACACUGCGCCGAAAAUGUACCGGGGCUAAACAUAUUACCGAAGCUGUGGAUUGUCCUUUGGACAAUGGUAGGAGAGCGUUCUAAGGGCGUUGAAGCAUGAUCGUAAGGACAUGUGGAGCGCUUAGAAGUGAGAAUGCCGGUGUGAGUAGCGAAAGACGGGUGAGAAUCCCGUCCACCGAUUGACUAAGGUUUCCAGAGGAAGGCUCGUCCGCUCUGGGUUAGUCGGGUCCUAAGCUGAGGCCGACAGGCGUAGGCGAUGGAUAACAGGUUGAUAUUCCUGUACCACCUAUAAUCGUUUUAAUCGAUGGGGGGACGCAGUAGGAUAGGCGAAGCGUGCGAUUGGAUUGCACGUCUAAGCAGUAAGGCUGAGUAUUAGGCAAAUCCGGUACUCGUUAAGGCUGAGCUGUGAUGGGGAGAAGACAUUGUGUCUUCGAGUCGUUGAUUUCACACUGCCGAGAAAAGCCUCUAGAUAGAAAAUAGGUGCCCGUACCGCAAACCGACACAGGUAGUCAAGAUGAGAAUUCUAAGGUGAGCGAGCGAACUCUCGUUAAGGAACUCGGCAAAAUGACCCCGUAACUUCGGGAGAAGGGGUGCUCUUUAGGGUUAACGCCCAGAAGAGCCGCAGUGAAUAGGCCCAAGCGACUGUUUAUCAAAAACACAGGUCUCUGCUAAACCGUAAGGUGAUGUAUAGGGGCUGACGCCUGCCCGGUGCUGGAAGGUUAAGAGGAGUGGUUAGCUUCUGCGAAGCUACGAAUCGAAGCCCCAGUAAACGGCGGCCGUAACUAUAACGGUCCUAAGGUAGCGAAAU